RNAcentral lists this ribosomal RNA (422 nucleotides) under uncultured bacterium. Its description in RNAcentral is "bacterial SSU rRNA". It matches the Rfam family "Bacterial small subunit ribosomal RNA", at positions 355 to 776 of the family's 1533-position model. The record is from RNAcentral.
UGAGGAAUAUUGGGCAAUGCCCGCAAGGGUGACCCAGCAACGCCGCGUGGAGGAUGAAUGCCGUAAGGUUGUAAACUCCUUUUGAAGGGGACGAAAAAACAGAUAGACUCUGUAUUGACUGUACCCUUAGAAGAAGCCCCGGCUAACUACGUGCCAGCAGCCGCGGUAAUACGUAGGGGGCAAGCGUUGUCCGGAUUUACUGGGUGUAAAGGGCGCGUAGGCGGGUUUGUUAGUCAGAGGUGAAAUCCUGCAGCUUAACUGUAGAACUGCCUCUGAUACUGCAAAUCUUGAGUUCAGAAGAGAGAAGCGGAAUUCCAGGUGUAGUAGUGAAAUACGUAGAUAUCUGGAAGAACACCAGUGGCGAAGGCGGCUUCUUGGUCUGUAACUGACGCUGAGGCGCGAAAGCGUGGGGAGCAAACAGG